Molecule: ribosomal RNA, 218 nt
Filed under: Brachyspira catarrhinii
Lineage: Bacteria; Pseudomonadati; Spirochaetota; Spirochaetia; Brachyspirales; Brachyspiraceae
Description: Brachyspira sp. Z12 partial 23S ribosomal RNA
Rfam family: Bacterial large subunit ribosomal RNA
Source: RNAcentral
GAUGAAGGUCAUAAAAAGCUGCGAUAAGCUACGGGGAGAAGCAAAUAUUCUAUAAUCCGUAGAUAACCGAAUGGGAAAACCUGUAAAAGCAAUCCUUUUACAUCAUGCAUUGAAUAAAAUAGAUGUAUGAAGCGACACCCAGGGAACUGAAACAUCUAAGUACCUGGAGGAAAAGAGAAAGUAAAAACGAUUUCGUAAGUAGCGGCGAGCGAACGCGA